RNAcentral lists this long non-coding RNA (624 nucleotides) under Rattus norvegicus (Norway rat). Its description in RNAcentral is "long non-coding RNA NONRATT027587". Lineage: Eukaryota; Metazoa; Chordata; Mammalia; Rodentia; Muridae. The record is from RNAcentral.
AGGAGGAGGAACAAUUAGGCUGUAGCAGACUGUAAACAUUUUAUUGCAGGAACUAGCCUUCAGAGAUACAUUUCCUUUUCAAGCUACGGCGGCUUCUGUUAAAGAAGAUAUCGAGCGGGCAUUUGCUGUGUGCAGAGAAUGGAACAAAUGGGAAUGGCGUCCUGUAACAGAGCAGAUAAGCCUGGAGUGCGGAAAGGUUGCCGACGUCUGCUGGAGCCUUUCUCUCAGGCACCUCAGAAACCCUUCUCUCUCUGUACCAUUUUGGAAGUGUGGAACGGGUGGCCUUCCCAGCUCUUCAGGAAGAUGAUUCUUCUGCAGUGACCUUAGAUCGCUGGCUAAAGGCUCUGCUCCUUGUAGUAUCUAUUCCUCCUACCGAGUCUCUGUGGGGAAGCUUGCCACUGAAAGAACUCAGCUCAAUCCAACAUAGGAAAAAACAAGCAGAAGAAAAACUAAAAAUAAGGGAUCUGUUGGGAAAACAGUGUCAAAAUUCCGGAGUAGAAGGAAGAGAACUCAGGGCAGGAAGCGCCCAAGAAGCCAAGGACUGGAGUCAGAGGCUCACUGUUGCCAAGUUCUUUCUUUGUCUUUAUUCUUUACUUCCUGUUCCUCUGUCUUUGGAUUUCUUCC